UCAGUGCAGAACAGAUCAGCACAGAUCAGUGCUGAUCUGAUCUGCACUGAUCUGUGCUGACCUGAUCUGCAAUGUUCCCCCCUUGUUGAUUUUGUUCGAAUUAUAACAAUAUGACUGUUGCAUCUGCAGCUUGAUCUUCGAAUCUGGACUGAAGGAAAGAUUGUUGCGAUAUGCAGCGAGCGCAUUGCUUUUUAGUGAAAAGGGUGUUAAUCCGUUCUUUGUGUCUUGGAAUCGAAUCAUUCUUCUACACGGACCCCCAGGUACUGGUAAAACAUCAUUGUGUAAAGCAUUGGCUCAGAAGCUGUCAAUUCGGUUCAGCUCCAGAUAUCCACAGUCCCAGUUGAUUGAAGUUAAUGCUCAUUCUUUGUUCAGCAAAUGGUUUUCAGAAAGUGGCAAAUUGGUAUGUGCUGCUCAUCAAGCCUGAUGUUAGUCCAUUUACACAUUUUCGCUCCCAGCUAUGAACUAACGAACAUAAGGACUCAUUUUAACCUUUUAAAUGAUUAAUAUGAUUAAUUUUAACUUUCCAAGA
Spinacia oleracea (spinach) is the source of this 529-nucleotide long non-coding RNA. RefSeq lists it as uncharacterized. Lineage: Eukaryota; Viridiplantae; Streptophyta; Magnoliopsida; Caryophyllales; Amaranthaceae. The transcript is spliced from 3 exons. The record is from RefSeq and is a predicted model, not a curated record.